ACCUGGUUGAUCCUGCCAGUAGUCAUAUGCU
Molecule: ribosomal RNA, 31 nt
Filed under: Danthoniastrum compactum
Lineage: Eukaryota; Viridiplantae; Streptophyta; Magnoliopsida; Poales; Poaceae
Description: partial 18S ribosomal RNA
Source: RNAcentral